CUUCUAGUCAGGACGAACGCUGGCUGCGUGCUUUUACACAUGCAAGUCGAACGAUGAACCACUUCGGUGGGGAUUAGUGGCGAACGGGUGAGUAACACGUGGGCAAUCUGCCCUGCACUCUGGGACAAGCCCUGGAAACGGGGUCUAAUACCGGAUAUGAGCCUCCUCCGCAUGGUGGAGGCUGUAAAGCUCCGGCGGUGCAGGAUGAGCCCGCGGCCUAUCAGCUUGUUGGUGAGGUAACGGCUCACCAAGGCGACGACGGGUAGCCGGCCUGAGAGGGCGACCGGCCACACUGGGACUGAGACACGGCCCAGACUCCUACGGGAGGCAGCAGUGGGGAAUAUUGCACAAUGGGCGAAAGCCUGAUGCAGCGACGCCGCGUGAGGGAUGACGGCCUUCGGGUUGUAAACCUCUUUCAGCAGGGAAGAAGCGAAAGUGACGGUACCUGCAGAAGAAGCGCCGGCUAACUACGUGCCAGCAGCCGCGGUAAUACGUAGGGCGCAAGCGUUGUCCGGAAUUAUUGGGCGUAAAGAGCUCGUAGGCGGCUUGUCACGUCGGUUGUGAAAGCCCGGGGCUUAACCCCGGGUCUGCAGUCGAUACGGGCAGGCUAGAGUUCGGUAGGGGAGAUCGGAAUUCCUGGUGUAGCGGUGAAAUGCGCAGAUAUCAGGAGGAACACCGGUGGCGAAGGCGGAUCUCUGGGCCGAUACUGACGCUGAGGAGCGAAAGCGUGGGGAGCGAACAGGAUUAGAUACCCUGGUAGUCCACGCCGUAAACGGUGGGCACUAGGUGUGGGCAACAUUCCACGUUGUCCGUGCCGCAGCUAACGCAUUAAGU
RNAcentral lists this ribosomal RNA (834 nucleotides) under Streptomyces sp. RNAcentral describes it as "bacterial SSU rRNA". It matches the Rfam family "Bacterial small subunit ribosomal RNA", at positions 17 to 865 of the family's 1533-position model. The record is from RNAcentral. Lineage: Bacteria; Bacillati; Actinomycetota; Actinomycetes; Kitasatosporales; Streptomycetaceae.